CAACACGAGCUCCAUCACGGGAGGCAUCGUCGGAGUCAUGCUGGGCCUCCUCCUGGUGGCCUCGCUCUUUGCCUACAACAGGAAUAGGCAUCGAGUCGAACAAGAAAGAGGGAAAGCGCAGAAAGUCGAAGAAGCAGCAG
This is a non-coding RNA of Anolis sagrei ordinatus, 140 nucleotides long. The record is from RefSeq and is a predicted model, not a curated record. NCBI's taxonomy places the organism in Eukaryota, Metazoa, Chordata, Lepidosauria, Squamata, Anolidae.